CCUUCGAUAUCUCAGUUAGAAGAACGUGGGACUGUAAUUGGUUACUUUGCAAAUCAUCCCGAUGUCACUGGUUCGAUCCCGGUUUGAAGGA
This is a non-coding RNA of Crucibulum laeve, 91 nucleotides long. The record is from the annotation of a GenBank genome assembly. NCBI's taxonomy places the organism in Eukaryota, Fungi, Basidiomycota, Agaricomycetes, Agaricales, Nidulariaceae.